UGCUCAAGUUUCAAGACCUAACCUCAUUUAAUUUUAAGGUUGUGUGUUUACUUACCUGCCUCAUUCUUGAGGGAAGAAUUAUGUUUGUGCAUGAUAAAUAAUUGUUGAGUGAGUAACUGUUGUGAAUGAAAGGAGAGGAGACCAUUGUCUUCUCUCCUGUUUUGUCUUCUCCAGUCUCCCUCCCUGUUUCUGAGGUUGAGGCACCUCCUUAGAAGAAUCCAGUCUCUGCUGCUACUGACCUUCGGAGUGUAGCCUCAUCUCGUUUAUCUUUGUGGCCGCCAAGCCCAGCAUAAUCCCAGCCACUGCAUGAUUGAUUGAGGAAACCUGGCAGGCCACAGUCAAGGAGUGUUUAUAAUGCCUAAAGCUUGCACUGAAAACUUCAAGGCAAUUUAAUUUGGUGUUUGACCGGCUCUGAUGUCAUCCAUACAAUCCUCCUCCUGGAGUGUUCACACGCCUCCUCCUCAACCCUGCUAGACAAAGACCCUGGAUGAU
Ceratotherium simum simum (southern white rhinoceros) is the source of this 492-nucleotide non-coding RNA. The record is from RefSeq and is a predicted model, not a curated record. Lineage: Eukaryota; Metazoa; Chordata; Mammalia; Perissodactyla; Rhinocerotidae.